AAGUCGUAACAAGGUUUCCGUAGGUGAACCUGCGGAAGGAUCAUUAUCGAGUUUUGAAACGGGUUGUCGCUGGCCUUUUACAAGGCAUUGUGCACGCCUGGCUCAUCCACUCUUCAACCACUGUGCACUCUUUGUAGGAAAAAAAAAUGGGUUUGAAGCUGGCGCAAGUCAGUAGAUGCCUCUUUUCUUUCCUAUGUUUUUAUUACAAACGCUUCAGUUAUAGAAUGUUUACUUGCAGAUAAUGCAUUUAUAUACAACUUUCAGCAACGGAUCUCUUGGCUCUC
Molecule: unclassified non-coding RNA, 284 nt
Filed under: fungal sp.
Lineage: Eukaryota; Fungi
Description: partial internal transcribed spacer region
Rfam family: Eukaryotic small subunit ribosomal RNA (bases 1-46)
Source: RNAcentral